Molecule: ribosomal RNA, 508 nt
Filed under: uncultured bacterium
Lineage: Bacteria
Description: bacterial SSU rRNA
Rfam family: Bacterial small subunit ribosomal RNA
Source: RNAcentral
CGGCGUGCCUAAUACAUGCAAGUCGAACGGUCUUUCUAUGGAAGGCUUGCUUCCACUGAGAAGAUAGUGGCGAACGGGUGAGUAACACGUGGGUAACCUGCCCAUAAGAGGGGGGAUAACAUCCGGAAACGGGUGCUAAUACCGCAUAGUUUUCUUGAUCGCAUGAUCGGGAAAGGAAAGACGGCCUUUGUGCUGUCGCUUAUGGAUGGACCCGCGGCGUAUUAGUUAGUUGGUGAGGUAACGGCUCACCAAGGCGAUGAUACGUAGCCGACCUGAGAGGGUGAUCGGCCACAUUGGGACUGAGACACGGCCCAAACUCCUACGGGAGGCAGCAGCAGGGAAUCUUCCGCAAUGGACGAAAGUCUGACGGAGCAACGCCGCGUGAGUGAAGAAAGGGUUUUCGGAUCGUAAAACUCUGUUGUCAGAGAAGAACAAGUUGGAGAGUAACUGCUCCAGCCUUGACGGUAUCUGACCAGAAAGCCACGGCUAACUACGUGCCAGCAGCGGC